Molecule: ribosomal RNA, 254 nt
Filed under: uncultured bacterium
Lineage: Bacteria
Description: partial 16S ribosomal RNA
Rfam family: Bacterial small subunit ribosomal RNA
Source: RNAcentral
CACGUAGGGGGCAAGCGUUGUCCGGAUUUAUUGGGCGUAAAGAGCUCGUAGGCGGUUCGCUAAGUCGGGUGUGAAACCUCCAGGCUCAAUCUGGAGACGCCACCUGAUACUGGUGUGACUCGAGUCCGGUAGGGGAGCGUGGAAUUCCUGGUGUAGCGGUGAAAUUCGUAGAUAUUAGGAAGAACACCAGUGGCGAAGGCGGCUCACUGGCCCGGUACUGACGCUGAGGCGCGAAAGCGUGGGGAGCAAACAGG